Lolium perenne is the source of this 1503-nucleotide long non-coding RNA. RefSeq lists it as uncharacterized. NCBI's taxonomy places the organism in Eukaryota, Viridiplantae, Streptophyta, Magnoliopsida, Poales, Poaceae. The record is from RefSeq and is a predicted model, not a curated record.
UGGAAACGAUUCCCCUAAAUCGGUCCUCUUCCUCACGAGUUCUGCAACCUCGCCACCGCCCCUAGUCCCGACCUCCUUCAUUGUUGUCCACCCACGCGCCUCCUCCACGUUGCCGUUUGUGCCUCCUCCCUGGUGCAGCCCUAGUCGGAUGCAGCAGAGGCGGAGACACAGGUCGUGCCGCCACAUCUGGAGAGAGUGCAGGGGCACAGGAUGUGGCUCACGUAUGGGCUACUCGGGCAAAUGCUCCGACCCCCAGCCAUGUCCAUCUGAACAACGUCUUUGCGUUCGUCACCAGCGGCAGGUUGAGCGACCUCUUCAGCUACCUAGCCUCUAUCACCGCGCAACCCGUCGCUAGGUUGGCUCUCCUGGACCCAACACUAAGGACCAAAAGGCCGAUAGGAAACAUGGAGGUUCCAGUGUAGCUCCGAACAUUAAAACUGAAGAGCCUAAUGGUGUUCUACAAAAAUAUGCAGAAGCACAAAUAGGAGUCAGGGAGCAGGCAAUCUCACAUUUUGUCCAAUUCACCCCAAUGGUACUGAUCCUCGCCUAAAGGUUAAGUGAGAUGGGGGCAUUGGUAUCGGUCUCACCAAAGCCGCUUGAUUGGGCCAGGACCCCAGGAUUAUUAUAUCCAGUGUAAGGUAUGACAUCCAACAUCCUUCACUACCACCACCUAUGCUCCCUUCUAUGUAUGUAUGUCAUUUACUCUUUGGCCUUUCUCUUAGUGCUAGACUAGCGUAUGUACCUAAUGAAUCACAUGAUACUUCAGCUGUUAGAUUUUUUGGCUCACAUAAUAAAUUCAAAUCUUUAAGUACAAUGCCUUUACAGAUGAGUUAGAUCAUUUGCUGGUUUAUUGUAUUCAUAUGUAGAACGAAAGAAUGAAUUUUCUUUUCAUAUGUAUUCCUUAGAAUCCAUUGCUCAUGUUAAAUACUAUCUGCAGUAACAUGUGCACAUUGAUUAUUAGCACUACCAUUUUCAAAUUUCACUCUUCAAAUUGUGGUCAUCUUUGUCUUCAUGUCCACUGGAGCUGGUGCAUCUGACUAAUGGCCAUGACAACAAGGUCACCAUCUGAGGUCACCAAGUAGGACUGCAUUAUUUGCUUCAAGCUACUAGGAUACAUCUGGUCAGCGAGUGGUUCAAUUCAUGGACGAUGCACUCGCUAUGAACAGGACCAUCGUGCUCACUGGUGGAGAGGUGAAGCAAGAGCCAAGAGGGGCACAAGUUGACAGUGGUGACGCUGGAUAUGAUGAAGAUCCAGAGACAUCUUGUAAAUUUUGGUUGGGCUACUUCAUUUGCAAGCUCAACAUUUUUCGCACAACACGUAAAAUAUUGAUACGUAAGCGAGAAAAAUUUUGUUCGAAUUUUUUUGACAUUUCAAAAUGUUAUUUCCGGUGGCAGGAGCAUAUAUUCCCAUGUGUCGAAUUGAAUUUAUAUUAGUUGACAUGCUUCUGUAACAUACAUUUUCUAUCAUGAGUACAAAGUAAUAUUAGCUUCAAAAUGGAGCAA